UUGAUCCUGGCUCAGGACGAACGCUGGCGGCGUGCCUAACACAUGCAAGUCGAACGGAUUUAGUAGGAAGAGCAAUCAGACUAUUGAAUUAGUGGCGGAUGGGCGAGUAACGCGUGAGCAACCUGCCUUGUACAGGGGGAUAACGUCGGGAAACCGGCGCUAAUACCGCAUAAUACUACGGGAUCGCAUGGUUCUGUAGUCAAAACUCCGGUGGUACAAGAUGGGCUCGCGUCCAAUUAGCUAGUUGGUGAGGUAAAGGCCCACCAAGGCGACGAUUGGUAGCCGAACUGAGAGGUUGAUCGGCCGCAUUGGGACUGAGACACGGCCCAGACCCCUACGGGAGGCAGCAGUGGGGAAUAUUGGGCAAUGGGGGGAACCCUGACCCAGCAACGCCGCGUGAAUGAAGAAGGCCUUCGGGUUGUAAAAUUCCUGUCCUAUGGUGAAGAAAAGAAAUGACGGUAGCAUAGGAGGAAGCCCCGGCUAACUACGUGCCAGCAGCCGCGGUAAAACGUAGGGGGCGAGCGUUGUCCGGAAUUACUGGGCGUAAAGGGUGCGUAGGCGGCUUGAUAAGUCAUGUGUGAAAUACCACUGCUCAACGGAGGGAUUGCAUGUGAAACUGUUAAGCUUGAGUGAAGGAGAGGCAAGCGGAAUUCCUAGUGUAGCGGUGAAAUGCGUAGAUAUUAGGAGGAACACCAGUGGCGAAGGCGGCUUGCUGGACUUUAACUGACGCUGAGGCACGAAAGCGUGGGGAGCAAACAGGAUUAGAUACCCUGGUAGUCCACGCCGUAAACGAUGGAUACUAGGUGUAGGGGGCUAAGCCUUCUGUGCCGGAGUUAACGCAAUAAGUAUCCCGCCUGGGGAGUACGGCCGCAAGGCUGAAACUCAAAGGAAUUGACGGGGGCCCGCACAAGCAGCGGAGCAUGUGGUUUAAUUCGAAGCAACGCGAAGAACCUUACCAAGGCUUGACAUCCCUCGAAUUAUGUGGAAACACCAUAAGGCCUUCCGGGACGAGGAGACAGGUGGGUGCAUGGUUGUUCGUCAGCUCGUGUCGUGAGAUGUUGGGUUGAGUCCCGCAACGAGCGCAACCCCUAUUCUCAGUUACCAGCAUGUAAAGAUGGGGACUCUGGGAAGACUGCCGGGGACAACUCGGAGGAAGGUGGGGACGACGUCAAAUCAUCAUGCCCCUUAUGUCUUGGGCUACACACGUGCUACAAUGGCCGUUACAAAGGGCAGCGAAAGCGCAAGCUGGAGCGAAACCCAAAAAGGCGGUCUCAGUUCGGAUUGUGGGCUGCAACCCGCCCACAUGAAGUCGGAGUUGCUAGUAAUCGCGAAUCAGAAUGUCGCGGUGAAUGCGUUCCCGGGCCUUGUACACACCGCCCGUCACACCAUGGGAG
Molecule: ribosomal RNA, 1394 nt
Filed under: uncultured Eubacteriales bacterium
Lineage: Bacteria; Bacillati; Bacillota; Clostridia; Eubacteriales
Description: bacterial SSU rRNA
Rfam family: Bacterial small subunit ribosomal RNA
Source: RNAcentral